GACGAACGCUGGCGGCGUGCUUAACACAUGCCAGUCGAACGGAAAGGCCCUGCUUUUGUGGGGUGCUCGAGUGGCGAACGGGUGAGUAACACGUGGGUAACCUGCCCUUGACUUUGGGAUAACUUCAGGAAACUGGGGCUAAUACCGGAUAUGAGCUCCUGCUGCAUGGUGGGGGUUGGAAAGUUUCGGCGGUUGGGGAUGGACUCGCGGCUUAUCAGCUUGUUGGUGGGGUAGUGGCUUACCAAGGCUUUGACGGGUAGCCGGCCUGAGAGGGUGACCGGACACAUUGGGACUGAGAUACGGCCCAGACUCCUACGGGAGGCAGCAGUGGGGAAUAUUGCACAAUGGGCGGAAGCCUGAUGCAGCAACGCCGCGUGCGGGAUGACGGCCUUCGGGUUGUAAACCGCUUUCGCCUGUGACGAAGCGUGAGUGACGGUAAUGGGUAAAGAAGCACCGGCUAACUACGUG
This 468-nucleotide ribosomal RNA is filed under the name uncultured bacterium. Its description in RNAcentral is "partial 16S ribosomal RNA". It matches the Rfam family "Bacterial small subunit ribosomal RNA", at positions 28 to 507 of the family's 1533-position model. The record is from RNAcentral.